CGCGGGAUGGAGCAGCCCGGUAGCUCGCAAGGCUCAUAACCUUGAGGUCACAGGUUCGAAUCCUGUUCCCGCCA
This 74-nucleotide transfer RNA is filed under the name bacterium. It matches the Rfam family "tRNA". From Rfam's summary of the family: Transfer RNA (tRNA) molecules are approximately 80 nucleotides in length. Their secondary structure includes four short double-helical elements and three loops (D, anti-codon, and T loops). The record is from Rfam by way of RNAcentral.